CGAGAACGGGCUUGGGCCCAGAGUAUGUUCCAGAUCCCAGAGUUUGAGCCGAGUGAGCAGGAAGACGCUAGUACUACAGAUAGGGGCCUGGGCCCUAGCCUCACUGAGGACCAGCCAGGUCCCUACCUGGCCCCAGGUCUCCUGGGGAGCAUCGUUCAGCAGCAGCCGGGACAGGCAGCCAAUAACAGUCAUCAUGGAGAUGGAGCAGGCAGGUGACCCUAAGUGACAAGCCAGAGCCGUGUGAAGUUGGAAAGAGGAAGACGGAGAGGCGUUGGAAGACACUGGUUAUACUUUCCACUUCCCAUCGCUGACCCCGUAACAGCCACAGAAACCUGAGCUCAACCAGGCGCUGGGACUAUGGAGACCCGGAGUCGCCACAGUUCGUACCCAGCGGGGACUGAGGAAGAUGAAGGGAUGGAGGAGGAGCUUAGCCCUUUUCGAGGACGCUCGCGCUCGGCUCCCCCCAAUCUCUGGGCAGCGCAGCGCUAUGGCCGUGAGCUCCGAAGAAUGAGCGAUGAAUUUGAGGGUUCCUUCAAGGGACUUCCUCGCCCAAAGAGCGCAGGCACUGCAACACAGAUGCGACAAAGCGCCAGUUGGACGCGCAUUAUCCAGUCCUGGUGGGAUCGAAAUUUGGGGAAAGGAGGCUCCACUCCCUCCCAGUGAUCUGCUCCACAUUCCCGGAAUUCUACCCGCUCCCAUCGCCCGCCAUAUUGGGUGUGGGCGGAAGUCUUUCGAGGCCUUAGGAAAAAAGGAUCGCUGUGUCCCUUUAACAGGGAGAAGAGCUGACGUACAGCGUUGAGUUCCUUCCGGUGCGUGCAAUAGCCAUGGAGGGGUGGCCCUUGCUUUGGAGUUUUCAAAGUUUUCCACACACCCUACCCCCUACGCCUCCGGAAGUGGCUAUGUUCCCUCUCCGUUACUGGACAGCCCUCAGGCGCCUGUGCUAAGUUGCGAGUCCUGGUAAACCGAGACUGGGUGCUGUCCUAUCAUCCUAGCUGGAGGCCCCAGGUCGGGAGAAACGUGCUUUAUAAUAAAGCCCGCGCAUGUGUC
This 1047-nucleotide long non-coding RNA is filed under the name Rattus norvegicus (Norway rat). RNAcentral's name for it is "long non-coding RNA NONRATT001486". Lineage: Eukaryota; Metazoa; Chordata; Mammalia; Rodentia; Muridae. The record is from RNAcentral.